AUACGUAGGGGGCGAGCGUUGUCCGGAAUGAUUGGGCGUAAAGGGCGCGUAGGCGGCUUUGCAAGUCAGUAGUGGAAGUCCAUUUUUCAAGGAUGGAAGUGCUACAGAAACUGCGGAGCUUGAGUGCAGGAGAGGUUAUCGGAAUUCCCGGUGUAGCGGUGAAAUGCGUAGAGAUCGGGAGGAACACCAGUGGCGAAGGCGGGUAACUGGACUGCAACUGACGCUGAGGCGCGAAAGUGUGGGGAGCAAACAGGAUUAUAUACCCUGGUAGUCCACACUGUAAACGAUGAAUGCUAGGUGUAGGAGGUAUCGACCCCUUCUGUGCCGCAGUAAACACAGUAAGCAUUCCGCCUGGGGAGUACGGUCGCAAGAUUAAAACUCAAAGGAAUUGACGGGG
This 397-nucleotide ribosomal RNA is filed under the name uncultured bacterium. RNAcentral's name for it is "partial 16S ribosomal RNA". It matches the Rfam family "Bacterial small subunit ribosomal RNA", at positions 523 to 918 of the family's 1533-position model. The record is from RNAcentral.